AUUGAACGCUGGCGGCAGGCCUAACACAUGCAAGUCGAACGAGUGGCGGACGGGUGAGUAAUGUCUGGGAAACUGCCUGAUGGAGGGGGAUAACUACUGGAAACGGUAGCUAAUACCGCAUACCAUCAGAUGUGCCCAGAUGGGAUUAGCUUGUUGGUGGGGUAACGGCUCACCAAGGCGACGAUCCCUAGCUGGUCUGAGAGGAUGACAAGCCACACUGGAACGGAGACACGGUCCAGACGCCUAAGGGAGGCAGCAGUGGGGAAUAUUGCACAAUGGGCGCAAGCCUGAGGCAGCCAUGACGAGUGUAUGAAGAAGGCCUUCGGGUUGGAAAGGACUUUCAGCGGGGAGGCGUUACGCGCAGAAGAAGCACCGGCUAACUCCGUGCCAGCAGCCGCGGUAAUAC
This 406-nucleotide ribosomal RNA is filed under the name uncultured bacterium. Its description in RNAcentral is "partial 16S ribosomal RNA". It matches the Rfam family "Bacterial small subunit ribosomal RNA", at positions 29 to 526 of the family's 1533-position model. The record is from RNAcentral.